RNAcentral lists this ribosomal RNA (254 nucleotides) under uncultured bacterium. RNAcentral describes it as "partial 16S ribosomal RNA". It matches the Rfam family "Bacterial small subunit ribosomal RNA", at positions 524 to 776 of the family's 1533-position model. The record is from RNAcentral.
UACGUAGGGACCAAGCGUUGUUCGGAUUUACUGGGCGUAAAGGGCGCGUAGGCGGCAAUUCAAGUCAGCUGUGAAAUCUCCGGGCUUAACUCGGAACGGUCAAGUGAUACUGUCGGACUAGAGUACAGAAGGGGGCAACUGGAAUUCUCGGUGUAGCGGUGAAAUGCGUAGAUAUCGAGAGGAACACCUGCGGCGAAGGCGGGUUGCUGGGCUGAUACUGACGCUGAGGCGCGAAAGCCAGGGGAGCGAACGGG